RNAcentral lists this ribosomal RNA (484 nucleotides) under uncultured bacterium. RNAcentral describes it as "partial 16S ribosomal RNA". It matches the Rfam family "Bacterial small subunit ribosomal RNA", at positions 30 to 507 of the family's 1533-position model. The record is from RNAcentral.
AUUGAACGCUGGCGGCAGGCCUAACACAUGCAAGUCGAGCGGAUGAAGGGAGCUUGCUCCUGGAUUCAGCGGCGGACGGGUGAGUAAUGCCUAGGAAUCUGCCUGGUAGUGGGGGAUAACGUCCGGAAACGGGCGCUAAUACCGCAUACGUCCUGAGGGAGAAAGUGGGGGAUCUUCGGACCUCACGCUAUCAGACGAGCCUAGGUCGGAUUAGCUAGUUGGUGGGGUAAAGGCCUACCAAGGCGACGAUCCGUAACUGGUCUGAGAGGAUGAUCAGUCACACUGGAACUGAGACACGUUCCAGACUCCUACGGGAGGCAGCAGUGGGGAAUAUUGGACAAUGGGCGAAAGCCUGAUCCAGCCAUGCCGCGUGUGUGAAGAAGGUCUUCGGAUUGUAAAGCACUUUAAGUUGGGAGGAAGGGCAGUAAGUUAAUACCUUGCUGUUUUGACGUUACCAACAGAAUAAGCACCGGCUAACUUCGUG